AGCGAACGCUGGCGGCAGGCCUAACACAUGCAAGUCGAACGAACUCUUCGGAGUUAGUGGCGGACGGGUGAGUAACACGUGGGAACGUGCCUUUAGGUUCGGAAUAACUCAGGGAAACUUGUGCUAAUACCGAAUGUGCCCCUCGGGGGAAAGAUUUAUCGCCUUUAGAGCGGCCCGCGUCUGAUUAGCUAGUUGGUGAGGUAAAGGCUCACCAAGGCGACGAUCAGUAGCUGGUCUGAGAGGAUGAUCAGCCACAUUGGGACUGAGACACGGCCCAAACUCCUACGGGAGGCAGCAGUGGGGAAUCUUGCGCAAUGGGCGAAAGCCUGACGCAGCCAUGCCGCGUGAAUGAUGAAGGUCUUAGGAUUGUAAAAUUCUUUCACCGGGGACGAUAAUGACGGUACCCGGAGAAGAAGCCCCGGCUAACUUCGUG
This 433-nucleotide ribosomal RNA is filed under the name uncultured bacterium. RNAcentral's name for it is "partial 16S ribosomal RNA". It matches the Rfam family "Bacterial small subunit ribosomal RNA", at positions 29 to 507 of the family's 1533-position model. The record is from RNAcentral.